ACUCCUACGGGAGGCAGCAGUGGGGAAUAUUGGACAAUGGGCGCAAGCCUGAUCCAGCAAUGCCGCGUGUGUGAAGAAGGCCUGCGGGUUGUAAAGCACUUUCAGUGGGGAAGAACAGGUUCGGGUCAAUACCCCGGAGCCCUGACGUUACCCACAGAAGAAGCACCGGCUAACUCCGUGCCAGCAGCCGCGGUAAUACGGAGGGUGCAAGCGUUAAUCGGAAUCACUGGGCGUAAAGCGCACGUAGGCGGCACGUUAAGUCAGAUGUGAAACCCCUGGGCUCAACCUGGGAAUGGCAUUUGAUACUAGCGCGCUCGAGUCUGAUAGAGGGGGGUGGAAUUCCAGGUGUAGCGGUGAAAUGCGUAGAUAUCUGGAGGAACACCGGUGGCGAAGGCGGCCCCCUGGAUCAUGACUGACGCUGAGGUGCGAAAGCNGUGGGUAGCAAACCAGGAUUAGAUACCCUGGUAGUC
This 470-nucleotide ribosomal RNA is filed under the name uncultured bacterium. RNAcentral's name for it is "bacterial SSU rRNA". It matches the Rfam family "Bacterial small subunit ribosomal RNA", at positions 335 to 795 of the family's 1533-position model. The record is from RNAcentral.